ACUCAAAGGAAUAGACGGGGACCCGCACAACCGGUGGAGCGUGUGGUUCAAUUCGAUACGAAACGAAAAACCUCACCAGGACUUGACAUGAUACCGUUUAUUCCUCUGGAAACAGAGGGAAAUCCGCAAGGAUGGUACCACAGGUGCUGCAUGGCUGUCGUCAGCUCGUGCCGUGAGGUGUUCCCUUAAGUGGGGAAACGAGCGCAACCCCUGUCUAAUGUUAAAUAUUCAUUAGAAACGGUCCCAGUUUUACUGGGAAGGAAGGAAGGGUAGAUGUCAAGUCAGCAUGGUCCUUAUGUCCUGGGCAACACACACACUACAAUGGCGAAAAACAAUGGGCUGCAAGCCGGCAACGGCAAGCGAAUCUCACAAAUUUCGCCUCAGUUCAGAUUGGGGUCUGCAACCCGACCCCAUGAAGUCGGAAUCGGUAGUAAUCGCGGAUCAGCAUGCCGCGGUGAAUACGUUCUCGGGUCUUGUACACACCGCCCGU
Molecule: ribosomal RNA, 490 nt
Filed under: uncultured bacterium
Lineage: Bacteria
Description: partial 16S ribosomal RNA
Rfam family: Bacterial small subunit ribosomal RNA
Source: RNAcentral